CAGAGAGCUUGCUCUUGGGUGACGAGUGGCGGACGGUUGAGUAAUGUCUGGGAAACUGCCCGAUGGAGGGGGAUAACUACUGGAAACGGAAGCUAAUACCGCAUAACGUCGCAAGACCAAAGUGGGGGACCUUCGGGCCUCAGACCAUCGGAUGUGCCCAGAUGGGAUUAGCUAGUAGGUGGGGUAAUGGCUCACCUAGGCGACGAUCCCUAGCUGGUCUGAGAGGAUGACCAGCCACACUGGAACUGAGCCAUGAUCAAAAUCUAAUCCGGAGGCGGCCGUGGGGAAUAAUUGCACAAUGGGCGCAACGCUGAUGCACCCAUGCCGCGCGCAUGAAGAAGGCCUUCGGGUUGUAAAGUACUUUCAGUGAGGAGGAAGGAAUCGUGGAUCAUAACCGCAGAGUUUGAAGCUACUCGCCGAAGAAGCUCCGGCUAACUCCAUGCCAGCUCCCGCUCCAAUACGGAGGGUGCCAGUGUUAAUC
Molecule: ribosomal RNA, 481 nt
Filed under: uncultured Kluyvera sp.
Lineage: Bacteria; Pseudomonadati; Pseudomonadota; Gammaproteobacteria; Enterobacterales; Enterobacteriaceae
Description: bacterial SSU rRNA
Rfam family: Bacterial small subunit ribosomal RNA
Source: RNAcentral